Molecule: ribosomal RNA, 465 nt
Filed under: uncultured bacterium
Lineage: Bacteria
Description: partial 16S ribosomal RNA
Rfam family: Bacterial small subunit ribosomal RNA
Source: RNAcentral
GGACGAACGCUGGCGGCGUGCUUAACACAUGCAAGUCGAACGAUGAACCGGUUUCGGCCGGGGAUUAGUGGCGAACGGGUGAGUAACACGUGGGCAAUCUGCCCUGCACUCUGGGAUAAGCCCGGGAAACUGGGUCUAAUACCGGAUACGACACUCCGAGGCAUCUUGGGGUGUGGAAAGUUCCGGCGGUGCAGGAUGAGCCCGCGGCCUAUCAGCUUGUUGGUGGGGUAAUGGCCUACCAAGGCGACGACGGGUAGCCGGCCUGAGAGGGUGACCGGCCACACUGGGACUGAGACACGGCCCAGACUCCUACGGGAGGCAGCAGUGGGGAAUAUUGCACAAUGGGCGAAAGCCUGAUGCAGCGACGCCGCGUGAGGGAUGACGGCCUUCGGGUUGUAAACCUCUUUCAGCAGGGAAGAAGCGAAAGUGACGGUACCUGCAGAAGAAGCACCGGCUAACUACGUG